Oncorhynchus gorbuscha (pink salmon) is the source of this 1055-nucleotide long non-coding RNA. RefSeq lists it as uncharacterized. NCBI's taxonomy places the organism in Eukaryota, Metazoa, Chordata, Actinopteri, Salmoniformes, Salmonidae. The transcript has 5 exons. The record is from RefSeq and is a predicted model, not a curated record.
GCAGGGGUCUAGGAAAGACAUACGGGCAGCGGACUGGAACAGGCUAACAGGCUAACGCUACGCUAACUUGGCCCCUCCGGAUUGUGGGACAGGGAGCCCCCAUGAGCUGUUCAUGCUGACCCGGCCUGCCUGCUGGGUGCGUGGGCCAGGUUGAUCAUGUGCACCACGAUCCUGAUCAUCUCGACCCUGUCAGUCAUUCUGCGCAGACGAUUCAACAACCGAGUCAAACCCCAUCCGGACGGGCUGGGGGAGAAAGAGAUGGCAUACGUGCAGAGAGAACUGCAGCCAAUGGAGAAGUGAGGCUCACUGCGCUUUCAGGCAUCAGUUGCAGAUCCCCAGGCAGCAGCAACCAGUGGUGACCAGGCUGUAUGGAAAGAAAAGGAACAGAUGUGGGUCCAGGAUGUAGAACAUGUCCUCGGUUCAACGGCUAGGCAACUGUGUGCUUCCCUGGAUAAAUAUCCUCACCACGAGCCUGGGGAUGGCUCAAACCAUUUCUCCCCUUCCUUCCAAGACUGGUUUCCCUCCCAUCAUCCAGCCCUUACUUACAGACAGCUGUAGGUCCUCUGCACCCACAGACAGAAGAGCUAAGCCAUGGACCACACUGCUCAGCAGCUAAAAUGGACAAUAGCAGCAUGAAGCCUUCCUCGUUGAUUGAUUUGAAAUGCUUACUGGUGUGAAUCAUCUAGAAACCAUCACAGGUAGCGCUGCCACAGAGGAGGAGUCAAAGAUCUUCAGUUAUAUACCAGAGACACCAAAGCUCAUGAAAAUACAUUUCUAACCUUGUCGGACUCUGCAUUGAAAGCAAAGAGGUUCAGAGGGGAUGCAACCGUUCCAAAGCAUGAUGUCUACUCCUCUAUGAUAAGUUGCUGUUUGACAUUCUGGAGAGGUGUAAUCAUAUAAAGACACAGAUGUCCUCCAAGAGUUACACUCUAAUAAAGGAUGAUGGAAAGUCAAACAGAGACCAGAGUCUGGCCUUCUGUGGUCCAAGAGGCUAGAGACCAAUUCUUCCCUCACGCAACCCUCCCCUCAAUUAAAUAAACAAGCGAUUUGUCUGA